GACGAUGCAUCGUCUGUUUUCAACAUAUCACUCUUCCACAAGUUAAUCUGAACCUGUAGCAUCAAGUAUUUGCACAUAAGGAAUAUUAGAAAUCAUGUGGGAAUCUUCACCUCGUAGCUUAAAUGCAAUCUUCUUGCUCGCGACAAUCUUCAACACCUCAAGAUUCCUCAUCAUCUCUUCCGGCAGCCUCUCCAAAUACGAGCACCGCUUGACCUCCAGUCGCCUGACCUCCGGCAUUGCACCUUCCUCCACUAGUAUGCUUCCUAGUGUGAUCAUAGAAUGAAAAAUCAGCACUUUAAGCACGCUAAAUCCGUUAUGUGAGAUCACCAUCUUCGAGCCCUCAUAUGCGCCGUCCAUCUUCAGGUACGACAACUUCUGCAGGUUCUCCAACAAGGGCAUGGGGUCUUCUCUCACACGAAGCCAAUCCAAUGUCAAAUGAGUGAGAUUCGGAGGGAAGACCGAGGGCAAAACGGGUAUCUCCCCGUGAAGCUUGAGCCGUGUGAUGCGAUGCAGGGAUCCGAGCCUGUCCAAAUCUAGGGUUUUGCAGUACUUGAGCUUGAGAUGCUCAAGCUUCUCCAUCUUCCCCAGUAAGUGGAAGAGCCGACUCGAAUUUGAUAUUCGAAAUAGAUUUAUGCCCAAUGUGGUUAGACUGGGCAUGUAUGCCACUUUUUCGACGUCUGCAUCGUUGAAAUUGACAUAGCUCAGCGUCUGGAGGAAUUUGAGGCCGCUUAUCUCCGGUGGCUUAUUGAAGUAGAACGACGACGCGUAGAGACGGCGAAGACAGAGCAUUUUUCCAAAAAUAUCGGACAUCUCGAUGUUAGUUAGCCCCCGAUGUCAAGAACUUCGAGGUUAACGAGCCUAGGAAGCCAAUUUGGCAUGUGCGAUAUGCCUGUGUUUCUCAGAUUCAGAUACUUCAAUCCCAUCAAUGCACCUAUUGAAACUGGUAGCUGUUUNGCUAAAUCCGUUAUGUGAGAUCACCAUCUUCGAGCCCUCAUAUGCGCCGUCCAUCUUCAGGUACGACAACUUCUGCAGGUUCUCCAACAAGGGCAUGGGGUCUUCUCUCACACGAAGCCAAUCCAAUGUCAAAUGAGUGAGAUUCGGAGGGAAGACCGAGGGCAAAACGGGUAUCUCCCCGUGAAGCUUGAGCCGUGUGAUGCGAUGCAGGGAUCCGAGCCUGUCCAAUCAG
RNAcentral lists this long non-coding RNA (1186 nucleotides) under Salvia miltiorrhiza (redroot sage). RNAcentral's name for it is "long non-coding RNA (SMIL_LNC005532)". Lineage: Eukaryota; Viridiplantae; Streptophyta; Magnoliopsida; Lamiales; Lamiaceae. The record is from RNAcentral.